Molecule: ribosomal RNA, 253 nt
Filed under: uncultured bacterium
Lineage: Bacteria
Description: partial 16S ribosomal RNA
Rfam family: Bacterial small subunit ribosomal RNA
Source: RNAcentral
UACGUAGGGGGCUAACGUUGUCCGGAUUUAUUGGGCGUAAAGAGCGUGUAGGCGGCCAGGUAGGUCUGCUGUGAAAACUCGAGGCUCAACCUCGAGACGUCGGCGGAAACCAUCUGGCUAGAGUCCGGAAGAGGAGAGUGGAAUUCCUGGUGUAGCGGUGAAAUGCGCAGAUAUCAGGAAGAACACCCGUGGCGAAGGCGGCUCUCUGGGACGGUACUGACGCUGAGACGCGAAAGCGUGGGGAGCGAACAGG